GGGUGAGUAACGCGUGGAGAACCUGCCGUAUACUGGGGGAUAACACUUAGAAAUAGGUGCUAAUACCGCAUAAGCGCACAGCUUCGCAUGAAGCAGUGUGAAAAACUCCGGUGGUAUACGAUGGAUCCGCGUCUGAUUAGCUGGUUGGCGGGGUAACAGCCCACCAAGGCGACGAUCAGUAGCCGGCCUGAGAGGGUGAACGGCCACAUUGGGACUGAGACACGGCCCAAACUCCUACGGGAGGCAGCAGUGGGGAAUAUUGCACAAUGGGGGAAACCCUGAUGCAGCGACGCCGCGUGAGUGAAGAAGUAAUUCGGUAUGUAAAGCCCUAUCAGCAGGGAAGAAAAUGACGGUACCUGACUAAGAAGCCCCGGCUAACUACGUGCCAGCAGCCGCGGUAAUACGUAGGGGGCAAGCGUUAUCCGGAUUUACUGGGUGUAAAGGGAGCGUAGACGGCAGCGCAAGUCUGAAGUGAAAUCCCAUAGCUUAACCAUGGAACUGCUUUGGAAACUGUGCAGCUGGAGUGCAGGAGAGGUAAGCGGAAUUCCUAGUGUAGCGGUGAAAUGCGUAGAUAUUAGGAGGAACACCAGUGGCGAAGGCGGCUUACUGGACUGUAACUGACGUUGAGGCUCGAAAGCGUGGGGAGCAAGCAGGAUUAGAUACCCUGGUAGUCCACACAGUAAACGAU
This 688-nucleotide ribosomal RNA is filed under the name uncultured bacterium. Its description in RNAcentral is "bacterial SSU rRNA". It matches the Rfam family "Bacterial small subunit ribosomal RNA", at positions 104 to 810 of the family's 1533-position model. The record is from RNAcentral.